RNAcentral lists this ribosomal RNA (386 nucleotides) under uncultured bacterium. Its description in RNAcentral is "bacterial SSU rRNA". It matches the Rfam family "Bacterial small subunit ribosomal RNA", at positions 28 to 417 of the family's 1533-position model. The record is from RNAcentral.
AUUGAACGCUGGCGGCAUGCUUUACACAUGCAAGUCGAGCGGCAGCGCGGGGGCAACCCUGGCGGCGAGCGGCGAACGGGUGAGUAAUGCAUCGGAACGUGUCCCGUGGUGGGGGAUAACCCGGCGAAAGCCGGGCUAAUACCGCAUAUGCUCUGAGGAGGAAAGUGGGGGACCCGCAAGGGCCUCACGCCAUGGGAGCGGCCGAUGUCCGAUUAGCUUGUUGGUGGGGUAAGGCUUACCAAGGCGACGAUCGGUAGCUGGUCUGAGAGGAUGAUCAGCCACACUGGGACUGAGACACGGCCCAGACUCCUACGGGAGCAGCAGUGGGGAAUUUGGACAAUGGGGGCAACCCUGAUCCAGCCAUGCCGCGUGCGGGAAGAAGGCCU